AUACGUAGGUGGCAAGCGUUAUCCGGAUUUACUGGGUGUAAAGGGCGCGUAGGCGGGGGUGCAAGUCAGAUGUGAAAUCUAUUGGCUUAACUCAUAAACUGCAUUUGAAACUGUAUCUCUUGAGUGCUGGAGAGGUAGACGGAAUUCCUUGUGUAGCGGUGAAAUGCGUAGAUAUAAGGAAGAACACCAGUGGCGAAGGCGGUCUACUGGACAGUAACUGACGCUGAGGCGCGAAAGCGUGGGGAGCAAACAGGAUUAGAUACCCUGGUAGUCCACGCUGUAAACGAUGAAUACUAGGUGUGGGGGGACUGACCCCCUCCGUGCCGCAGUUAACACAAUAAGUAAUCCACCUGGGGAGUACGGCCGCAAGGUUGAAACUCAAAUGAAUUGACGGGG
This 396-nucleotide ribosomal RNA is filed under the name uncultured bacterium. Its description in RNAcentral is "partial 16S ribosomal RNA". It matches the Rfam family "Bacterial small subunit ribosomal RNA", at positions 523 to 918 of the family's 1533-position model. The record is from RNAcentral.